This 1084-nucleotide ribosomal RNA is filed under the name Bacillus subtilis. RNAcentral describes it as "bacterial SSU rRNA". It matches the Rfam family "Bacterial small subunit ribosomal RNA", at positions 55 to 1126 of the family's 1533-position model. The record is from RNAcentral. Lineage: Bacteria; Bacillati; Bacillota; Bacilli; Caryophanales; Bacillaceae.
AUGAAUACGAGGGAAGAUGGUUACUUGCUCCCUGAUGUUAGCGGCGGACGGGUGAGUAACACGUGGGUAACCUGCCUGUAAGACUGGGAUAACUCCGGGAAACCGGGGCUAAUACCGGAUGGUUGUCUGAACCGCAUGGUUCAGACAUAAAAGGUGGCUUCGGCUACCACUUACAGAUGGACCCGCGGCGCAUUAGCUAGUUGGUGAGGUAACGGCUCACCAAGGCGACGAUGCGUAGCCGACCUGAGAGGGUGAUCGGCCACACUGGGACUGAGACACGGCCCAGACUCCUACGGGAGGCAGCAGUAGGGAAUCUUCCGCAAUGGACGAAAGUCUGACGGAGCAACGCCGCGUGAGUGAUGAAGGUUUUCGGAUCGUAAAGCUCUGUUGUUAGGGAAGAACAAGUGCCGUUCAAAUAGGGCGGCACCUUGACGGUACCUAACCAGAAAGCCACGGCUAACUACGUGCCAGCAGCCGCGGUAAUACGUAGGUGGCAAGCGUUGUCCGGAAUUAUUGGGCGUAAAGGGCUCGCAGGCGGUUUCUUAAGUCUGAUGUGAAAGCCCCCGGCUCAACCGGGGAGGGUCAUUGGAAACUGGGGAACUUGAGUGCAGAAGAGGAGAGUGGAAUUCCACGUGUAGCGGUGAAAUGCGUAGAGAUGUGGAGGAACACCAGUGGCGAAGGCGACUCUCUGGUCUGUAACUGACGCUGAGGAGCGAAAGCGUGGGGAGCGAACAGGAUUAGAUACCCUGGUAGUCCACGCCGUAAACGAUGAGUGCUAAGUGUUAGGGGGUUUCCGCCCCUUAGUGCUGCAGCUAACGCAUUAAGCACUCCGCCUGGGGAGUACGGUCGCAAGACUGAAACUCAAAGGAAUUGACGGGGGCCCGCACAAGCGGUGGAGCAUGUGGUUUAAUUCGAAGCAACGCGAAGAACCUUACCAGGUCUUGACAUCCUCUGACAAUCCUAGAGAUAGGACGUCCCCUUCGGGGGCAGAGUGACAGGUGGUGCAUGGUUGUCGUCAGCUCGUGUCGUGAGAUGUUGGGUUAAUUCCCAACGAGUGCAACCCUUGGUUUUAUUGGAAAGAUUU